RNAcentral lists this long non-coding RNA (235 nucleotides) under Helianthus annuus (common sunflower). RNAcentral's name for it is "sRNA HanXRQr2_Chr11g0476861". The record is from RNAcentral. Lineage: Eukaryota; Viridiplantae; Streptophyta; Magnoliopsida; Asterales; Asteraceae.
GUCAUGUAGAUGAGAUGAUAAUAAAUAUUAUCUCGCAAAGAUAAACGGUCAAUUCGGCCAAACGGGUCAAAAGGUGUAGACAUCACCUUUUGACAAUAUCGACUAAUGAUUCUGGUGUCGAGUUAUAUGUUUACAGGAGUAGAUAUCCAAUGGAUACUCGCAUCGCUCUUAAUUAGCAAUUAUAAAGCAAGGUGAAUGUCGAGGGUCCCGGAUGAAGAUCGAGCAUCGAGCAAGA